CGAAGGGGGCUAGCGUUGUUCGGAAUUACUGGGCGUAAAGGGCGCGCAGGCGGCUCUUCAAGUCAGAUGUGAAAGCCCCGGGCUCAACCUGGGAACUGCAUUUGAGACUGGAGAGCUUGAGUUCGGGAGAGGAUGGUGGAAUUCCCAGUGUAGAGGUGAAAUUCGUAGAUAUUGGGAAGAACACCGGUGGCGAAGGCGGCCAUCUGGACCGAUACUGACGCUGAGGCGCGAAAGCGUGGGGAGCAAACAGGAUUAGAUACCCUGGUAGUCCACGCCGUAAACGAUGUGCGCUAGACGUUGGGGGGCGUAGCCUCUCGGUGUCGCAGCUAACGCGGUAAGCGCACCGCCUGGGGAGUACGGCCGCAAGGUUA
Molecule: ribosomal RNA, 371 nt
Filed under: uncultured organism
Description: bacterial SSU rRNA
Rfam family: Bacterial small subunit ribosomal RNA
Source: RNAcentral